GGAGAUAUGCGGAUCAAUGUCUUCAAAAGCCUAUUCUUCAACAUGCCCUAGCAAUUCCAAGCAGUUUGAGAAGUCCUCAGAGCCAGCUAAGAACAACAAAAAGAGGGCUAGACCUGGUGAAAAUCCCAGGCCUAGACCAAGGGACAGACAACUCAUUCAAGAUCGGAUUAAGGAGCUGAGGGAGCUUGUGCCUAAUGGAGCAAAGGUAAUUUUCUUGCUGUUUAGAUGAGUGUUGGAUUCUGAUGGUUGCUGUUUAUACCCUUAUAAAUGUCAGUCUGCUAAAAUUUCAAGAAAAAUCUACAGUGCAGUAUUGAUUCAUUGCUGGAGCGCACAAUCAAGCACAUGGUCUUUCUUCAAGGUAUCACUAAGCAUGCUGACAAGCUUGGUAAAUGUGCUGAAUCAAAGGUAAAUUGUCAUGCCAUUUACUGGUUAAUGAUCUUUGUGACUCAGUAAAUUAGAAACUGGGAAGUUCUCCAUGAUCAUUUUCAAUUAUUGGGGCAUAUGAAUUAAAUGAACUCAUUCGAGUUUUGCUAGAAUUUUCUCUUUAGGGGCUUGUAGACAUAUUUAUAGAUUAUUGUCCUUUUUCAUGUAAUGGCAGCAUAAUUAAUGAUCACAAGCUGAAAUCAAGUUUUGUCAUGAUUUUUCAAGUGCCUCUUAGUGCCAGAACUUGUCCGAAGUUGUUGGUAUAAAAUUAAUAAGACUUGGUGGAAACACUGAUCAUAAACAAGAGCAUACCAUGUUUUGUUCUGUCAGUGAACGUCUUCUUUUGAUUCUUGUAGAUGCAUCAAAAGGGAGCUGGCAUGCUUGGAUCAUCCAAUUAUGAUCAAGGUUCAAGCUGGGCAGUGGAAGUGGGAAGCCCUCUAAAAGUUUGCUCUAUCAUAGUGGAAAAUAUAAACAAAAAUGGGCAGAUGCUUGUAGAGGUGCGUAUAGGGUCUGUGUAGGUUCAUGAGAACUGUUCCAGUAGAUGGUAUUGUAGUUAUUGUUUGUUAAGUUUAUCAUUUAAUUGGUGGGUUCACUGCUAAGUGUAAAUGUAGGAAGUUUUGUCCAUUGUUUACUGGUUAUAGUUAUUGUUUGUCAAGUUAAUGAUUUAUGUUAUUUAGGAAAUUUUGUUCAUUAUGUCACUGGUAUCGGUCUAUCAGAAAUAUGUUAGAAAAUUAAGAAGAGUUAAGUGAAUAACGAAGGGUGAUUCUAUGAGAAUGUGACACCAUAGCUUUCGUACAGUCAAAGAUGAGACUUUAUAUCCAAUGAAAACAAGAUAAAAUUUCACUUUUUACUCAUUAUUAUUAUUAUUAUUGUUCUCGGUGUUUUAAGUAUUUUAGUUGAUCCAUGCAGCUGUUGUGUGAGGAAUGUAGUCAUUUUCUUGAGAUAGCAGAGGCAAUCAGAAGCUUGGGCCUGACAAUCUUAAAAGGGAUUACAGAAGCACAUGGUGAGAAGACUUGUAUAUGGUUUGUGGUUGAGGUAGGGUUUAUUCUCUACGAUGAAUUGUCUGGCAUAUUAAGGCUUGCACAUGAAUUUUAUUUCCCUUCUGUAGGAUCAUUUGGGCAUCUAAAUGUCCAUCUUUAUUUGUUUAGUAUUUCCUGGCACAAGAUCCAAGCAUUGCUUGCUAAUUCGUAAAUUUCAAAGUUCCAUCUCCUACAUUCUGGGUGCUGAAGAUUGAUGUCUAAAUUUCAUACACUGAUGGAAGCAAUUGUGUCAGACCAAAAAAACAGAAAAGGAAAAAAUGUAAUCAAGAGGACAUGAUCAACCUCUUGUAAUGUGUUCUUGUCUUUGCAUCUGAGGCUGUGGUCUGUGUUUUCUAUCAGUUACGUGCCUGCCCAAAACAUACACAGGAGAUGCUGGUGGAACAUGUUAUUUGCUUCCUCUUGAUAUUUAUGAAAUUUAUACAUCGAAUAUAUUAUAAGUUAUACCUCCUAAGCUCCAUGCAGUAUGAAUUGCAUUCCAAACAAUUCAACUUUUAAUCCUCUUAUAAUUUUGCUUCCCUUUUCUGAACACAUUGCAGGGGAAGAACAGAGUUAUGCAUCGACUGGAUAUCUUAUGGUCUCUUGUGCAUAUUUUGCAAUCCAAGGCUACAAGCUAGCAACAAUGGCUUGUGAGGUUUUGGAGGCUGUAACAUUGGCUCCUAUUGUAAAAUAUCGUGAGUGGUUUGUGGUUUUUUAUUGGUUCUCUUGUUUUUGCCUCUUGUGUUUGUCUCUCCAUCCCAUAAGAAAUAUAUAAAGGAAGGGAAAAGGAGGGAAAGCAGCAUACCUAAGAAAACAUUUUGUAAAGAGUUUUUGCUUCUGUUCUUCAUAGUUCGUGGGAAAUGUCAUCUAUAAUUUUCUUCCUUUCCAAUCUUAUUAGACCAUUAUAUUCGGUUUGGACUGCCUUAACUGGAUAUUUUUCCUUUUGUAACUGCUUUAAUCUGACGAUUAAGAACGCUUAGAUUUAACAUUCACCAUCAAAGAAGCUACUGCACAUGAGAAAGAGAAAAACAUCAAGAUCUAAAUUGCAGAUUGCUUUUAUAUUAAUGCUUCAAAUUAAUGAUUGCGUAGUUACUAUAGUGUCAUGGCAUCAUAAGGUUAUUGUGAUGAGCUUGGUACUUGUCCUGCUAUCACCCUAUGCUUCACACUUAAAAAUUUAUCAUUUGUGAUAAUGAGCUAACGCAGGAGAAAAGGGAACCCUAAGUUGUCAUUCUAGUAUAGGUAAAAAUAAAGUGCUUGCAUGUAACAUCCAUGCAUUGACAUCUCCGUUUAAGUAUAAAAUCAUAGUAUAGUGAUGAUAAUGUCUAUACCCGAAUGAAGUCGCCAAUGUUUACUAUAAAAGCUCGAGGAAGAGGAGGGGUCAACAGGCUACUUCGAUGAGGGCCUCUGAUAUUGUCUUGAAGAAGAAUUGAGAGUCAAGAUUGGUCUGCAUGUUUUUUGUAAUGCCCGCAUAUUGGAGGAAAAAAUUGGGGUUCUAGUUGAUCAUCAAGGAAAUCAAAUGCUUCUAGAGUUAGAAGCAUAUCUCCAUUGCAGAAAUACCAAACAGGUUUGCUUAUAAUCCCGUGUGUACCAUGUAAUUGGCUUACACCACCUUCAGAAAUGUCAACAAAUGAUAGCUGGAAAGUACUGAGCGAUUGGCGUGGGCUAAAUUUAGAACUGAAGCAGGAAAAAGAAAAAGGGCAAAGAGGCUUUGAAUGAAAAGGAUGGCGUUUAAAAGAAGCACUAGGUAGUGAUCAUUCAUGCAUGAGCAAGGCUACAAAGAUGAUUGGUCGAACGAAUGAAUAAAAAGAUUAAAAGAACAAAUUCAUGCCUUCCGCCUUUGAUACUAUAUAUAAUAUUAUAAAAAAUAUUGAAAGGUGUAGAUGUAGGUUGGGUUGAUGGUUUAAGGCAGUCACACUGUGUGGGUAUCGGGAGUCGUUAAGAGUAUUCUUUUAGGUGAUCGGAGAAGUCUAAGCACAGUUUUUGUAAUAAA
This 3429-nucleotide long non-coding RNA is filed under the name Gossypium barbadense (sea-island cotton). RNAcentral describes it as "long non-coding RNA (GBAR_LNC006915)". Lineage: Eukaryota; Viridiplantae; Streptophyta; Magnoliopsida; Malvales; Malvaceae. The record is from RNAcentral.